GACGAACGCUGGCGGCGUGCCUAAUACAUGCAAGUAGAACGCACAGUUUAUACCGUAGCUUGCUACACCAUAGACUGUGAGUUGCGAACGGGUGAGUAACGCGUAGGUAACCUGCCUGGUAGCGGGGGAUAACUAUUGGAAACGAUAGCUAAUACCGCAUAAUAUUGAUUAUUGCAUGAUAAUUGAUUGAAAGAUGCUAUUGCAUCACUACCAGAUGGACCUGCGUUGUAUUAGCUGGUAGGUGAGGUAACGGCUCACCUAGGCGACGAUACAUAGCCGACCUGAGAGGGUGAUCGGCCACACUGGGACUGAGACACGGCCCAGACUCCUACGGGAGGCAGCAGGAGGGAAUCUUCGGCAAUGGACGAAAGUCUGACCGAGCAACGCCGCGGGAGGGAAGAAGGGUUUCGGAUCGGAAAGCUCUGUUGUAAGAGAGGAACGGGUGUGAGAGUGGAAAGUUCACACUGUGACGGUAUCUUACCAGAAAGGGACGGCUAACUACGUG
This 505-nucleotide ribosomal RNA is filed under the name uncultured bacterium. RNAcentral's name for it is "partial 16S ribosomal RNA". It matches the Rfam family "Bacterial small subunit ribosomal RNA", at positions 28 to 507 of the family's 1533-position model. The record is from RNAcentral.